GAUGGACGCUGGCGGCGUGCUUAACACAUGCAAGUCGAACGGAAAGGCCUUGUGCUUGCACAAGGUACUCGAGUGGCGAACGGGUGAGUAACACGUGGGUGAUCUGCCCUGCACUGUGGGAUAAGCCCGGGAAACUGGGUCUAAUACCAUAUAGGACCACUUCUUGGAUGUUGUGGUGGAAAGCUUUUGCGGUGUGGGAUGAGCCUGCGGCCUAUCAGCUUGUUGGUGGGGUAAUGGCCUACCAAGGCGGCGACGGGUAUCCGGCCUGAGAGGGUGUACGGACACAUUGGGACUGAGGUACGGCCCAGACUCCUACGGGAGGCAGCAGUGGGGAAUAUUGCACAAUGGGCGCAAGCCUGAUGCAGCGACGCCGCGUGGGGGAUGACGGCCUUCGGGUUGUAAACUCCUUUCGCUAUCGACGAAGCCACCUUGGGUGGUGACGGUAGGUAGAUAAGAAGCACCGGCUAACUACGUGCCAGCCGCCGCGGUAA
This 491-nucleotide ribosomal RNA is filed under the name uncultured bacterium. RNAcentral's name for it is "partial 16S ribosomal RNA". It matches the Rfam family "Bacterial small subunit ribosomal RNA", at positions 28 to 523 of the family's 1533-position model. The record is from RNAcentral.